RNA transcript from Carassius gibelio (silver crucian carp), 3211 nucleotides. It is a transcript of the gene named mucolipin TRP cation channel 1b, with no coding region annotated. The transcript has 14 exons. Lineage: Eukaryota; Metazoa; Chordata; Actinopteri; Cypriniformes; Cyprinidae. The record is from RefSeq and is a predicted model, not a curated record.
UCGCGGUCAGAGCGUCUGAUGAUGUUUGUGUUGUUUUCUGCUCGUGCUCAGACUGCAGCGAUGCGCUUCAUCCGAGUCUGUUUUUAUUCCCUAAACCCGUCGAUCACAACAAUAUCGUGAUUUAUCCACCAAUAUCUGUCUUUGCUCAUCGAUGGUCGUAAAAUGGCGAGCUCUUCCUCCAGACCUUCAGCUCAAGGAGGCACAGAGACGGACCGUCUGCUGACCCCUGUGACGGGAUACGGCUCCGGCGAUCUGAACGGUGGGCGUCCCGUCCUGGACGUGAGCACCCCGGGGUCACAGCCGCGGGCCGAGGAAGAGGAGGAGGCCCUGAGGAGGAAGCUGAAGUACUUCUUCAUGAGCCCGUGUGAUAAAUACAAGGCUAAAGGCCGCAAACCCUUCAAACUGGCCCUUCAGCUGCUCAAGAUCAUCAUAGUCACUGUACAGCUGGUGCUGUUCGGUCUCAGUAAUCAGAUGGUGGUGGCGUUUAAGGAGGAGAACACAGACUCCUUCAGGCAUCUGUUCCUCAGAGACUAUGUGGAUGAUCCGGCCGAGCCGCUGUGUGUCCACACGCAGAGAGACGUCUAUGAUCACAUUCACUAUGCCAUCAAGCAGUACCUGGUUCUGCCGCAGACGUCGGUCGGCAGGUACGCAUACGUUCGAGGUUCGGCUGAGAAUGACAGCGCUCUCUAUCUGUGCCAGCGCUACUACAGGAAGGGCACCAUCGACCCGGUUAACGACACCUUUGACAUCGACCCUCACAUCGUCACCGACUGUAUCGGAGUGAAUCCACCACUGGACCCCUUCAAUCCACCGCAAGACCACUACAAGAACAUCACCCUCAAUUUCCAAAAGCUGAUUAAUGUGACUAUCCAGUUUCAGCUGAAGGCGAUAAACAUCCAGACGAUUAUCAAUAAUGAGAUUCCCGACUGCUACACCUUCUCCAUCACCAUCCUGUUUGAUAAUAAGGCUCACAGUGGGAAAGUCAAGCUGAGUUUGCUCAACGAGGCGUCCAUUAAAGAGUGCAGAGACACCAAUGUGUCGGGACACGCGGACAGUUACGCGCGCGUGGCCUUCGAUGUGCUGGUGGCGGUGGUCUGCGGUCUGUCUCUGGUGUUGUGUGGACGCUCCAUCCUCAGAGGAAUCGUCCUGCAGAACGAGUUUGUGUGUUAUUUCCGUCAGUCUCUGGGCCGCUCGGUGAGUUGGGGCGACCGUCUGGAGUUCAUCAACGGCUGGUAUCUGCUGCUCAUCAUCAGCGACGUUCUCACCAUCAUCGCCUCCUUCAUCAAGAUCGCCAUCGAGACCAAGAACCUGUCGUCGUAUGACGUCUGCAGUAUUUUGAUGGGAACCUCCACUCUGCUGGUGUGGGUCGGCGUUUUACGAUACUUCAGCUUCUUUCAGAAAUACAACAUUCUGAUCGUGACUCUUCGAGCUGCGUUUCCAAGCGUGAUCCGCUUCUGCUGCUGCGCUGCUGCUAUUUACUUGGGCUACUGCUUCUGUGGCUGGAUCGUCCUGGGACCCUACCAUGCUAAAUUCCGCUCUCUCUCUACGGUGUCCGAGUGUCUGUUUUCUCUCAUUAACGGAGACGACAUGUUUGCAACGUUCUCGGAGCUGGAGCAGAGCGGGAUGCUGGUGUGGGUGUUCAGUCAGAUCUAUCUCUACACCUUCAUCUCGCUCUUCAUCUACAUGGUGCUGUCGCUCUUCAUCGCACUCAUCACCGGAGCCUACGACACCAUCACCCAUCAAGCCCAUGAGGUUCCUCAGGUGUGUGAGCUUCACCGGUUCAUCGCCGAAUGCACCGACACACCGACCUCCGGAAACUUCCACAGCCCAGAGCCGUCCACGUGCUCGCUCCUCUGCUGCUGCAACUAGAGAGACUGUGCUUGUGAAGGGGAUUCUGGGUAACAUUCAUUACUCAUCUCGCACACACAGGAAAGGAGGAACACGCUCUUCUUUGUUAGUUUCCAGGUUGUUGCUGCACUCACAGAGCAUCUCAGCAUGCAGCUUUUAAAUCUGUUAUAAUUAAUGAGAUGAAUGUGUUUUUGUGAGAGUCGCCUGAUGGUUUUUAUUCGUUCACAGCUGUGUAUUUUAUGAUUUUAUGAUUUUAGGCUUUUUUUAAUACAGUUUAACAUGUUAAGAUAUUAAUGCUUUGUCAGCAGAGGAGCGUUAUAUGGAUGAUAAUGUCUUUAUUUCUUCUCUAGUCAGUGCUUUGUUUCAGAUGUUUCUCCACACGAGUGAAAGUGUGUGUGUGUGCGCGUGUGUGUGUGUGUGUGUUUUACAGGAAGCAUAGCUUGCAGGUUUAUCUUGUCAUUAAUAUUAAUGUGGUUAGUCUAUCGUACCUGUCCCUGCUGCAUCUGCUCCUCUCAAACACACACACACACACACACACACACUGAUGUUUGAGAAGCCUUGGGCAUCUUGAGAGCUCUUCUCUGCUCAUCAGGGAGGUUCUCGACUGACACAGACAUGCUUUGAUUGUUGUCUGUGUUUUUGGUCGAUGGCGAGCUAAUAUCUGUCUAUUAAUGCCUAGCUCCAUUAAUUGUUAGUUAUUAGCUGGGUUAAUUCCUUUAAAGCAUCCCCAUGAGGGACCGAACACCAGCUGGAUCUGAAUGCAGGACUGAACGGGAAUGUUUGCAAUGUCUCGUUCUGAUUGCGGUGUUAUUUAUGAGCUCUCGGUGUGUUAUAUUCGUGAUGUUAGUCAUGGACUUCCAGCUUGUGGCAGAUUAACAUCAGAUCCGUUCAUGUGUGUUUCAUCGAGCGCUCUGAAACUGAUUAGAUUUGUUGUUCUGUCGUGAGGAGGACAGCGGCUUUGCUUUUAUGUAAUCGUUUCUUACCCAGAAUGCCUUUUUGAUGUAGUUUCAUGACAUACAUUGAGUUUACUGCUGUUAUUUGGAGGAUGUGUGAUUUAAAGUACUUGAAAUGCUGUUUUGUUGAAUAUUUUAAUUUAUUGUGUCUAACUGUAAGCUGAGAUGCAUUUGGCUUUUGUUUCUCAUAAGUGGUAUUCUUGUUUUUUAACAAAGGGAUUAUUUUUUUUUUUUUACAAUGCACAAUUUUGCACAUUUUUAAGCUGGUAAUUUAUUUGGAGAGACUAUUCUGAAUGUGUGUUUGUGGUUUGUGUAUGAGUUGAUAUGAAUGCUCUUCAUUAUGAUCAUAAACACAGACUCGUUUUAACACAAAUCUCAAAUAAAACACAUCUGUGAAUGUCAACAUCAAA